UGUCCACCAGGUAUUGGCCAGUCCAGUGACGCUUGAUGAAGCAUUGUGGGUGGCCGCGCUUCCGAGGCAAUUAUAGGUGGCCGCUGCAUGGCACUGUGUCCAGUUGCUUCCAUUACCGAGGCACCAUGGCCAGUUGCUUCACCUAAGGCAUUUGGGCCAGUCGUGGCACUUGAUGAAGCAUUGUGGCCAGUUGCUUCAGCUAAGGUAUUUAAGCCAGUCGUGACGCUUGAUGAAGCAUUGUGGCCAGUUGCUUCAGCUAAGGUAUUUGGGCCAGUUGCCACACUUCCCGAGGCAUUCUGGGUGGCAGCUUGCGCGGCACUGUGGCCAGUUGCUUCCGCUGCCGAGGCACUAUGGCCAGCUGCUUCACCUAAGGCAUUUGGGCCAGUCAUGGCGCUUGAUGAAGCAUUGUGGCCAGUUGCUUCAGCUAAGGUAUUUAGGCCAGUCGUUACGCUUGAUGAAGCAUUGUGGGUGGCCACUUCCGAGGCAUUAUGGGUGGCCGCUGGCAUGGCACUGUGUCCAGUUGUUUCCACUACCGAGGCACCAUGGCCAGUUGCUUCAGCUAAGGUAUUUGGGCCAGUCGUGACACUUGCUGAGGCAUUGUGGGUGACUGCUUCUGAGGCACGGGAUCCGGUUGCUCCACCUAAGGUAUUUGGGCCAGUCGUGAUGCUUGCAGCAUUGUGGCCAGUUGCUUCAGCUAAGGUAUUUGGGCCAGUUGUGACACUUGCUGAGGCAUUGUGGCCAGUUGCUUCAGCUAAGGUAUUUGGGCCAGUUGUGACACUUGCUGAGGCAUUGUGGGUGACUGCUUCUGAGGCACGGGAUCCGGUUACUCCACCUAAGGUAUUUGGGCCAGUCGUGGCGCUUGAUGAAGCAUUUUGGCCAGUUGCUUCAGCUAAGGUAUUUAGGCCAGUCGUUAAGCUUGAUGAAGCAUUGUGGGUGGCCGCUUCCGAGGCAUUAUGGGUGGCCGCUGGCAUGGCACUGUGUCCAGUUGCUUCCAUUACCGAGGCACCAUGGCCAGUUGCUUCACCUAAGGCAUUUGGGCCAGUCGUGGCACUUGAUGAAGCAUUGUGGCCAGUUGCUUCAGCUAAGGUAUUUAGGCCAGUCGUGACGCUUGAUGAAGCAUUGUGGCCAGUUGCUUCACCUAAGGUAUUUGGGCCGGUUGCCACACUUCCAGAGGCAUUCUGGGUGGCAGCUUGCGCAGCACUGUGGCCAGUUGCUUCCGCUGCCGAGGCACUAUGGCCAGCUGCUUCACCUAAGGCAUUUGGGCCAGUCAUGGCGCUUGAUGAAGCAUUGUGGCCAGUUGCUUCAGCUAAGGUAUUUAGGCCAGUCGUUACGCUUGAUGAAGCAUUGUGGGUGGCCACUUCCGAGGCAUUAUGGGUGGCCGCUGGCAUGGCACUGUGUCCAGUUGUUUCCACUACCGAGGCACCAUGGCCAGUUGCUUCACCUAAGGUAUUUGGGCCAGUCGUGAUGCUUGAUGAAGCAUUGUGAUCAGUUGCUUCAGCUAAGGUAUUUGGGCCAGUUGUGACACUUGCUGAGGCAUUGUGGGUGACUGCUUCUGAGGCACGGGAUCCGGUUGCUCCACCUAAGGUAUUUGGGCCAGUCGUGACGCUUGCAGUGGCAUUACGGGUGGCUGCUUCACCUGCCGAGGCACGGGAUCCGGUAGCUUCACCUGCCGAGGCACGGGAUCCGGUAGCUACCGCUGCAUUGUGGCCAAUUCCUUUUAAUUGAUUUUGGGGAAUAUAUCUAUAAUUACCUACGAAAGAAAAGAACGUUUCAAAUUGUAAAAUGCCAUCAUUUGAAGUUCUGCUAUUUAUACAGUGUUACUUUUACUGAAUUAUAUGUGCAGAACAAAACACACCUUUAGGUGGAGGAUAACAGGUUAUCCCUCCAAUUAGCAGGCAACAAAUCCAAGAAAUUCUAAAUAAAAAUAAAAACAUCCUAGUCAGUUAAAUACCUUUAAAACAUGGAAGACAAGGGAAUCAAACUAGAGCCAUACAACUUACCUCAAAGACAUUUCAAAACUCACAGCCAUUUUUCUCGUCAAAUCCUCUCUAUUCAGAACUAAUGGUAGCCAGAAGCCUUACCAGAAGAUCCCUGAUAUUGUAUCUGAUUGUCUUUUUUGCUGCGCCUUACAAAGGAAUCCUAGACCCUUCUAAUCUGGCUGGUUAAUU
This is a long non-coding RNA of Oncorhynchus kisutch (coho salmon), 2168 nucleotides long. NCBI's taxonomy places the organism in Eukaryota, Metazoa, Chordata, Actinopteri, Salmoniformes, Salmonidae. The record is from Ensembl.